UUAAAGGGCCGCGGUAUUCUGACCGUGCGAAGGUAGCAUAAUAAUUAGUCUCCUAAUUAGAGGCUUGUAUGAAUGGUCGGACAAGAUGGAUACUGUCUCAAUACAAUAAAUAAAAUUUAAUAUUUGAGUAAAAAAGCUUAAAUAAUAUGGAGGGACGAUAAGACCCUAUAAAGCUUUAUAAUAAUUCUUUUUUAUAUAAAUUGUUGUUUAUUAACUUAUUUAAAAGUUUUUAUUAUUUUACUGGGGCGGUAAAAGUAUAUUAAAGAAUAACUGCUUUUAUUUUGUAUAACAAUUAUAAUUGAAAAUAAAUUGAUCCAUUAUUAAUGAUCAUAAAACCAAGUUACUUUAGGGAUAACAGCGUAAUUUUUUUUGAGAGUUCUUAUCGAAAAAAAAGUUUGCGACCUCGAUGUUGAAUUAAGGUUGCCUUAAGGUGCAGCAGUUUUA
Molecule: ribosomal RNA, 444 nt
Filed under: Cloridopsis scorpio
Lineage: Eukaryota; Metazoa; Arthropoda; Malacostraca; Stomatopoda; Squillidae
Description: partial 16S ribosomal RNA
Rfam family: Bacterial large subunit ribosomal RNA
Source: RNAcentral